Molecule: ribosomal RNA, 253 nt
Filed under: uncultured bacterium
Lineage: Bacteria
Description: partial 16S ribosomal RNA
Rfam family: Archaeal small subunit ribosomal RNA
Source: RNAcentral
UACCAGCACCCCGAGUUGUCGGGACGAUUAUUGGGCCUAAAGCAUCCGUAGCCUGUUCUGCAAGUCCUCCGUUAAAUCCACCUGCUCAACGGAUGGGCUGCGGAGGAUACCGCAGAGCUAGGAGGCGGGAGAGGCAAACGGUACUCAGUGGGUAGGGGUAAAAUCCAUUGAUCUACUGAAGACCACCAGUGGCGAAGGCGGCUUGCCAGACCGCACUCGACGGUGAGGGAUGAAAGCUGGGGGAGCAAACCGG